RNAcentral lists this ribosomal RNA (484 nucleotides) under uncultured bacterium. Its description in RNAcentral is "partial 16S ribosomal RNA". It matches the Rfam family "Bacterial small subunit ribosomal RNA", at positions 30 to 507 of the family's 1533-position model. The record is from RNAcentral.
AUUGAACGCUAGCGGGAUGCUUUACACAUGCAACUCGAACGGCAGCGCGGACUUCCGUCUGGCGGCGAGUGGCGAACGGGUGAGUAAUGUAUCGGAACGUGCCCAGUAGCGGGGGAUAACUACGCGAAAGCGUAGCUAAUACCGCAUACGCCCUACGGGGGAAAGCAGGGGAUCGUAAGACCUUGCACUAUUGGAGCGGCCGAUAUCGGAUUAGCUAGUUGGUGAGGUAACGGCUCACCAAGGCGACGAUCCGUAGCUGGUUUGAGAGGACGACCAGCCACACUGGGACUGAGACACGGCCCAGACUCCUACGGGAGGCAGCAGUGGGGAAUUUUGGACAAUGGGGGCAACCCUGAUCCAGCCAUCCCGCGUGUGCGAUGAAGGCCUUCGGGUUGUAAAGCACUUUUGGCAGGAAAGAAACGUCGCGGGCUAAUACCCCGUGGAACUGACGGUACCUGCAGAAUAAGCACCGGCUAACUACGUG